RNAcentral lists this long non-coding RNA (8348 nucleotides) under Gossypium barbadense (sea-island cotton). RNAcentral's name for it is "long non-coding RNA (GBAR_LNC014701)". Lineage: Eukaryota; Viridiplantae; Streptophyta; Magnoliopsida; Malvales; Malvaceae. The record is from RNAcentral.
AGAACAGGGGACUCCAAAAACAGUUCUGACCCUAUCUUACUAAAAUUCACAUAUCUUAAAAUAUAAAUUUCUUUUUUUCUACACCGUUAUUUUUCCAUGAAAAUAGACUCAACAAGCUUUAAUUCCAUAUAUCAUUCACCCUCUAAUUCAUUUUAUACUAUCUUGGGUGAUUUUUCAAAUUCACGUCACUGUGCUGCCUGAAUUCUGUUUCUUUGCAAAAUUUUAUCCUUUCAUGAUUUCCAUGCAUAAUUUAUCACCUAAUAUUUCAUAACAACAAACACCUUCAUCCUUAAUCAUUUUAAUAACCAUACAUCAUCAAAUACUUACACAUCACUCAUUAGCAAAAUCAUCACUACAAACAUACAAAAUAACUAAAUUCCUAUACAUGCCAUAACUUAAACGUGUUUCGAUAUAAAAUACCGAGCAGUUGUAGUUGAUAGUGUGGACGAUCUCCGACUUCUUUAGGAUCCUUGAAGUAGCUUUGCAAUACUAUAAGAGAAAGAAAUAAAAGAAGUAAGCAUAAAGCUUAGUAAGUUUACUAGCAAAUAAAUAACAAUAUUUAACUUAAAUAAUUAAACUCAAUGUCUAUAUCUCUAGUUUACUCUUUAGUUAAUCUCAUACUAGUUCUCUUACUUGUUUACUUAGAAUAUUUGUGUGCAUAACUUACUCAAUCCUUGCUGCAUCGUUGAACAUCAAUUGAUAGUAUAAUAAGUUCUUAAGUCUUACAACUUACCUGAGCUUGCCAUUUAUGCUUUAAAAACAUGAUUCGUUUACAAGCCCGUUGAACUACAUUGGAAUAAUAAGGAUACUCGGGUCUCUUCUGAUAAUAACAUGCCAAAGCCAUGUCCCAGACAUGGUCUUACAUGGGAUGUUCUCGUGAUGGUGCCCAUGCCAUGUCCCAAACAUGGUCUUAUAGGGGACCUCUCAUCUCGGUGCCAACGCCAUGUCCCAGACAUGGUCUUACAUGGGACCUCUCGUCUCGGUGCCCAUGCCAUGUCCCAGACAUGGUCUUACAGGGGACCUCUCAUGAUCUUAAGGAUGCCAAUGCCAUGUCCCAGACAUGGUCUUACAUGGGAUCUCUUUACCCAAAUGUCAUGACAUUCGUAUCCAGUACCAUCCUUAUGUAUCAACGGGACUUUUAAAUUUUAAUUCUCUAUCAUUUCAUGCUUGGAUCAUCAUCAAAUAAAUUCAUAAAAUAAAUUCAUAAUUGCUGGAAAUUAACAGCAUUAAUAAUAAAUAUUGAAAUAUUGCAUUUAUUUACCGUAAACUUACCUCGGUACCAAUUAUAGCCAAAUUCACCAACUUAGUCUUCAACUUUAUUCUUCCCUUUGUCUAACCUCGAGUUUCGUACUUCUUGAUCUAAAAUAGUAAAUUUAACUUAUUUAAUAAUCACAUUCAUCAAAAUAGCCCUCGACUCUAACUUUUUCAAAAUUACAAUUUUGCCCCUAAACUUUUACAUAAUUACAUUUUUGCCCCAAGGCUCGGAAAUUAAACUUCAUCUCUUAUUCUUAUGUUUUAUAACAUUCUGAACAUUUUUCCCUUCUAUGGCAACAUCAAAUUCUAAUUUAAUCCCUUAUCAAUACUAAUUUUAUUUUUGCAUUCUAACUCUAUAUUCUCUCUUAAUUCUUACUAUAAAGUCAAUUUAAUUCCUCAAUUUCACCAUAAAUCCCUAAUUUCGGGAUUCUUUCAAUUUAAUCCCUAUCGAUUCAAAACUUAUAUUUUAUUUUACAAUUACGUUCUUUACUAACUUCUAACUUGAAAUUAAAUCAAUUUAACCCCUAACUAAACCUAUAUAUUUUUCUUUCUCAAUUCAUACCCUUAUUCUACCCAAUUUCUUGCUAAACUCAUAUUUAACUAUUUAAUUUUUAUCAUGUUUUCAUAAUUCCGAAUUUAUUUCAAAUUAAUCCCUAAAAUUCAAAACUUAUAGUUUAGUUUACAAUUCAAUCCUUUAUUCAAUUCCAAUCAAAAUUUCUAUCAAAUACAUCCCUAAUUUAACAAUUUAUUCAACAUGAACCAUGCUUAAUAAUCUACUAACUUCCAAAAUUUCAACUUAAUCAAGUAGUAUUUUGUUCUAGGAUUUCAAAAAAAAUAUCAAAAUUAAGAGAAAAUGGGAUUAAAUUGACUUACCAAAUUACUUUGAACCUUAAAACCCCAAAUUUCCCUUUUUCUUUUCUUUUCUUUCUUUCUUUCUUUCCUUCCUUCCUUCUCUGUUUCGUUUUGCUCUCUGUUUCUUUCUUUCUCCCUUCUCUGUUUUGUUUUGCUCUCUGUUUCUUUUCUUUCUUUCUUUGUCAUAUAUAUAAUAAUAUAAUAAUAUAAUAUAAUAUAAUAUAUUAAUAAUAAUAUAAUAUAAAAACAUAAUUAUUACUUACGCAUGUAUAAUAUAAUAUAUAUUUUAAAUUAAAAAUAUCUUAGAUUUUUCUUUUGUUAUGCCGCCUCAACUUUAGAAAAAGGCAUAAUUGCCUAUUUGGUCCUUUAACUUUUCUUUAAUCUAUAAUUAAACUUUUAUCCUUACUUCAAUUUAGUCCUUUUUCAUAAUUAACUAUCAAAGCGUUAAAAUUUCUUAACGAAACUUUAAUAUUAUCCUGUUGACACUCCGUAAAUAUUUUUAUAAAUAUUUACGGCUCAGUUUAUAAUAUCGAGGUCUCGAUAUCUCGUUUUCGACCCAAUUUACCUAAUAAUUUCUUUUAAAUCACAAAAUUCACUGAUUUAAAAAAUAUUUCUAAAAUCACACUUAACUUAUAAUUAUUAAUUAAUAAAUUUUUCUAACUUUUUCAUCAAUUUUAGUGAUCUCAAAUCACUAUUCUGACACUACUAAAAUUUGGGCUGUUACAACUCUUCCCCCCUAAAAAAAAAAUUUCGUCCUCGAAAUUUCUCACCUGAUACAGGCUAUUAAGUCAAAUCUUUCUUCCACCCUUUCAAUCGAAGUCCAUAAAAAUUAAUCAUAACUCAUAUCACUUCCGAAAUCAUAUCAGAACUCAUUUUAGAACUUGAUACUAUGCCUGAACUUAACUGAGUAACUCUGAUGUUCUCUUGCCAUCACUUUUUCACUAGUAGUAUGACUACUAAGAAAUUUCCAGUAAUUGUCUGUCGAAACAUAACUGAGAAACUCGAAUUAUCUUAUUUAAUACCUUUGAACAAAGACCUUGGAAACCCAUCCAGCGAGAAGAAAACAGAUAAUUUAAACCCAUUGUGGAGACCCAAAAUAUAUUGAUUCCUUCACUGAUGAUUACUCAACUUUUCACUGAAUAACCCACUCUGAUUAGAACAACUGAGUCGAUUUUAUCUAUCAGAUAAUAACAUUUCAGAAUAAUCCAUUCUUCUUGUUGUCAAAACAAUCCAGAUAUACCAUAUAUCAUAAUCCUCUCGGAACACCAAUCGAAAAUUUCCACUAAUAGCAUUUAACUCAAACGAAUUUUGACAUUCCAUUAUUGACUUGUUGACAUAAUUUCAGAAUUACCUGAGAAAUGAAAACCAAAAUACAAGUUUGAGCUCAAUCUUCCUCCAUCUAUACUUUUGCCGAUGUCAACCCUUUCACGAAAACUAGAAAGGAAUUAUAUAUAUAAUAAAACUAUUUCAAUCAUUAACAUCGAAGCUUUGAACUAUACCGAAGCCACAACCAUCAAAUAGAUUAAAAACUAUAGAGCUAUACUAGGACCGACGUUCCAACUAUAUAGAUAGAACAAUACCUCAACAUCAAUAGUGCACUCCAAAAUAGAUGAAGAAAACCGAAGUAGUCCCAAUAACAACCAGUGCAGUAAUACAACUUCUAAAAUCUGAGAUCCAUAUCACCGAGUUCCCAUGAUCAAACCAAGAUUUAUAACAGUAAUAAAUAUAAUUACCUCCGGCCAAUGAAUAUCUUGUACGGAUAAACCAUGGUUAAUAGAUAAGAUUAGACCAUAAGAAUAAUAAGAAAACCGAGAUAAUAAAAUCCAAGAUGUGAAGCUAUACUAAAUUUCCGAUAAGAAAAAACCACAUUGAAUGAUAAAGAGAUCGAUGAUAUCCCAGAGAAAAUCCAAAAGAAGAAUAUCACUUGUAAAUCCAAAAGAAGAAUAUCACUUGUACGUACUAGGAAUAGUUGUGAUAAAGACAAUAUAAAUUCCAUAUAUAUAAUUCGGAGCUUCAACCAGUAGAAAUAGAAAAUAGCUUCAUAUGAGUCUUAUCAUCAAAUCUUCCAUCGAACAUAAUAGAUUAGAAAACCAAAGAAAGAUAGAGGAAUCCCGAUCAUGAAUCAACCAGACUAAUAAUAAUUUCGUCUAACAAUACGAUUAGCCAACCUUGCUAUAUGAUAAGAAUCAUAUAUGAAAAUAAAUAAUUGCAUAUACCUCUGAGGAUAAAAGAGCAUAUAGAAUACCCAUAUAGAAUACCCAGAAGAGAUCAUUGUAAAAUACUCGACUAUAACAACUGCAUUCAGAUAUGUUUGCAAUUUUCAACACAAUCCCACUGAUUACUAAAGUCAUCAAUAAUCUCACAUUAUCUCAAUCAUUAAAGAAAUCAAUUCAGAAGAAAUUCCGAUUAACCUGCUCUUUAAAUUUUAUACCUGAGUAAGUCGGUUACUCGUGAAUAGCUUCUUCCUUAAUAGCGACAUUGCAAAUCCCAAUAAUCAUUUAAAAAAAAUCUAAUAUCCUUUCUAGAACUCUCUUUACUUGCUAUCCCAUCCACAAUUCUGACUGCAUUAUUAUUCCUUCAAUUAUUGAACUCUUCAAUUUCACACUUGUAAACUUAAUGAAUACAAUUCUUGUAAAUUCCAUUGUUCAGGUGAGGGGGUGAAGGUCGUAAAGCCUCAAAAUUUGACUCUUAUAUAUAUACUUAUAUAUAUAUACACAUAACAUGACUUUUAUCGUCAAUAUAUUCAUUACAAACAUUCAUUUCAUACCUUAUAAAUCUUUACUCAUAUAGGCAACUCCCCUUUCUCUAUCAAAUACUCAAAUAUCACUUUCAUCACUGUCGGAACUAGAUCAAUUGGAGACAUUUUUGUCUAUUAGUAAAACAUUUCUCAUUUAUCAAGGUUACUCUUUUAAGUGUAUAAAUGUAUAUUUUCAUCCUUAUCUAUAAGAAUUACUAUUUUAAAUCUCCAUACAGAACUAAAUAACAUUUACUUAUUCACAACUUUAAAUUAUUUUAUUACAAAUACAUACUUCUUUAUUCACAGCUUUGUAACUUAUUUUUCCUUUAUAAUCAUUCAUCAUUGAAUCAAAGAUAAUCUUUUAUCUUGUAACAUUUUUUUUUUUAGCAGAGGCCCAGUAGACGAAACAGAACACUUAAGAAAUAUGGGACUGAUAUAACAUCUGAUGGCACCGUCCCUUCUGCGGGAAUAGGUGCAUUACUCUCUACUUCAUCUGUACUAGCUCGUUCAGGAUCCAUAACUAUAAAAGAAAACAUUUUAAAAUCGUCAGGAGUCGUCACACUAUCAAAAUAUAUAAGUAUGGCAUGUAUAGGUAGACUCUUAUUCUUACUGAGUAUUUCCGAGAACCGACUAAACCUGCUCUGAUACCAAUAAAAUGUAACACCCCUUACCCGAGACCGUUUCCGGAAUCGAGCACGAGGCAUUACUUAGCUUAUCUUACCAAUUCGGAGCAUAAAAACUAGGUUUGAAAAUUUAUUUCAUUAUUCGCAGCAAAUCUGUCUAAUCGCGCAGCAGUUACUAAAUUAAUUAUAACUUGAGCUACAGAACUCGAAAUUUAAUCUCGUAAAUUUUCCAUGAAACUAGACUCAUAUAUCUACUCACCAUAAAAUUUUUAGAAUUUUUGGUUCAGCAAAUUAGUACAGUUUAUUAGUUAAAGUCUCCCCUGUGUCACCACCAGACUGCCCUGACCUCUAGUCACUAAAAAUAAGUUUUCUCACUAUAGGAUUUUCAUAUGAAGUUCUUACUUGUUUCUAUAGAAAAUAGACUCAUUAAUAAAUCUAAGCAUGUAAAUUUCAACUCAUAAACAUUUUUGUACAAUUUUUUAUUAUUUUCUAAACUCAGAACAGGGGACUCCAAAAACAGUUCUGACCCUAUCUUACUAAAAAUUCACAUAUCUUAAAAUAUAAAUUUCUUUUUUUCUACACCGUUAUUUUUCCAUGAAAAUAGACUCAACAAGCUUUAAUUCCAUAUAUCAUUCACCCUCUAAUUCAUUUUAUACUAUCUUGGGUGAUUUUUCAAAUUCACGUCACUGUGCUGCCUGAAUUCUGUUUCUUUGCAAAAUUUUAUCCUUUCAUGAUUUCCAUGCAUAAUUUAUCACCUAAUAUUUCAUAACAACAAACACCUUCAUCCUUAAUCAUUUUAAUAACCAUACAUCAUCAAAUACUUACACAUCACUCAUUAGCAAAAUCAUCACUACAAACAUACAAAAUAACUAAAUUCCUAUACAUGCCAUAACUUAAACGUGUUUCGAUAUAAAAUACCGAGCAGUUGUAGUUGAUAGUGUGGACGAUCUCCGACUUCUUUAGGAUCCUUGAAGUAGCUUUGCAAUACUAUAAGAGAAAGAAAUAAAAGAAGUAAGCAUAAAGCUUAGUAAGUUUACUAGCAAAUAAAUAACAAUAUUUAACUUAAAUAAUUAAACUCAAUGUCUAUAUCUCUAGUUUACUCUUUAGUUAAUCUCAUACUAGUUCUCUUACUUGUUUACUUAGAAUAUUUGUGUGCAUAACUUACUCAAUCCUUGCUGCAUCGUUGAACAUCAAUUGAUAGUAUAAUAAGUUCUUAAGUCUUACAACUUACCUGAGCUUGCCAUUUAUGCUUUAAAAACAUGAUUCGUUUACAAGCCCGUUGAACUACAUUGGAAUAAUAAGGAUACUCGGGUCUCUUCUGAUAAUAACAUGCCAAAGCCAUGUCCCAGACAUGGUCUUACAUGGGAUGUUCUCGUGAUGGUGCCCAUGCCAUGUCCCAAACAUGGUCUUAUAGGGGACCUCUCAUCUCGGUGCCAACGCCAUGUCCCAGACAUGGUCUUACAUGGGACCUCUCGUCUCGGUGCCCAUGCCAUGUCCCAGACAUGGUCUUACAGGGGACCUCUCAUGAUCUUAAGGAUGCCAAUGCCAUGUCCCAGACAUGGUCUUACAUGGGAUCUCUUUACCCAAAUGUCAUGACAUUCGUAUCCAGUACCAUCCUUAUGUAUCAACGGGACUUUUAAAUUUUAAUUCUCUAUCAUUUCAUGCUUGGAUCAUCAUCAAAUAAAUUCAUAAAAUAAAUUCAUAAUUGCUGGAAAUUAACAGCAUUAAUAAUAAAUAUUGAAAUAUUGCAUUUAUUUACCGUAAACUUACCUCGGUACCAAUUAUAGCCAAAUUCACCAACUUAGUCUUCAACUUUAUUCUUCCCUUUGUCUAACCUCGAGUUUCGUACUUCUUGAUCUAAAAUAGUAAAUUUAACUUAUUUAAUAAUCACAUUCAUCAAAAUAGCCCUCGACUCUAACUUUUUCAAAAUUACAAUUUUGCCCCUAAACUUUUACAUAAUUACAUUUUUGCCCCAAGGCUCGGAAAUUAAACUUCAUCUCUUAUUCUUAUGUUUUAUAACAUUCUGAACAUUUUUCCCUUCUAUGGCAACAUCAAAUUCUAAUUUAAUCCCUUAUCAAUACUAAUUUUAUUUUUGCAUUCUAACUCUAUAUUCUCUCUUAAUUCUUACUAUAAAGUCAAUUUAAUUCCUCAAUUUCACCAUAAAUCCCUAAUUUCGGGAUUCUUUCAAUUUAAUCCCUAUCGAUUCAAAACUUAUAUUUUAUUUUACAAUUACGUUCUUUACUAACUUCUAACUUGAAAUUAAAUCAAUUUAACCCCUAACUAAACCUAUAUAUUUUUCUUUCUCAAUUCAUACCCUUAUUCUACCCAAUUUCUUGCUAAACUCAUAUUUAACUAUUUAAUUUUUAUCAUGUUUUCAUAAUUCCGAAUUUAUUUCAAAUUAAUCCCUAAAAUUCAAAACUUAUAGUUUAGUUUACAAUUCAAUCCUUUAUUCAAUUCCAAUCAAAAUUUCUAUCAAAUACAUCCCUAAUUUAACAAUUUAUUCAACAUGAACCAUGCUUAAUAAUCUACUAACUUCCAAAAUUUCAACUUAAUCAAGUAGUAUUUUGUUCUAGGAUUUCAAAAAAAAUAUCAAAAUUAAGAGAAAAUGGGAUUAAAUUGACUUACCAAAUUACUUUGAACCUUAAAACCCCAAAUUUCCCUUUUUCUUUUCUUUUCUUUCUUUCUUUCUUUCCUUCCUUCCUUCUCUGUUUCGUUUUGCUCUCUGUUUCUUUCUUUCUCCCUUCUCUGUUUUGUUUUGCUCUCUGUUUCUUUUCUUUCUUUCUUUGUCAUAUAUAUAAUAAUAUAAUAAUAUAAUAUAAUAUAAUAUAUUAAUAAUAAUAUAAUAUAAAAACAUAAUUAUUACUUACGCAUGUAUAAUAUAA